RNAcentral lists this long non-coding RNA (885 nucleotides) under Zea mays. Its description in RNAcentral is "long non-coding RNA (ZMAY_LNC002982)". The record is from RNAcentral. Lineage: Eukaryota; Viridiplantae; Streptophyta; Magnoliopsida; Poales; Poaceae.
UUAACUAGAAAAGCGCUCAUAAGGAUCGAAAGACCCAAGGGAUUGUUCUAAAUUGGGCUUCUAAUAUUGACUUAAUUAAAAACUACUUCACGCCGACUAGGCUUGGCGUUCCAGUGUGGGUGGGUGUCAAACCAAGGCUGGCAUAUUUUUUUUGCCAUGAAGGCUAGAUGAGAGCAUUCGGCAAUUGCAGCCACCGGGCAGGAAUGAGUGAGAUCUAGGAGCGAUGUAGAGAUAUUUAAUUUGCCAAGUUCCAUUUCUCCACGAGAACCAACUGCACGGAAAUGGAAGCAUGCAUUUUGGUCUUGGCUUUCUGGCUGGGACAGGCAGCAUCAUGUAUUCAUGUAUUCCCACGGUCCUUGAAUUCAGGUCAACUCCUGAGCCUAUCCCUCUGGCGAGUGUUUCUAGUGAACAUUGAUAGACAACAAAUCAGUAUUAACAAAGAUGGUAAAACUGAAGCAGUGUAGUAAACAACAUAAAAGUACUACUGUCUAGAAUCGUAAAUGGUUAGAUUUGAAAGACGCCCGAUAACAUUUUAGAUAAAGAUGCUGGUUAAUUAGCUUUUCCCGGUUACAUAUCGGUAGGGCUUUUUAUGUGCAAACGACGCCUAAGAUGUACUCAUGCAGUUGAUACAAUUAAGUCUCUGCAUCAGGUUCAGCAUGUCACUCAAUGUGUCACUACUUUUCGCAGAACAACAUACACACAUAAGAGUAUUUUUCGAAGGUCUUAGAUGUAUCUACCUUGAAUCUCGAAACCAAGGUGGUUGCAUUGGAAACAAGGGUGUUUGGUUUGAGGAACAACCCGUUCAUCCCACAAAUUUUGUUCCUCAUGUUUGUACUCAUGAUUAUUACCUUGUGAGAGAUGAGAUAGCAGAGAAUCAACCCAUUC